UACGGAGGAUCCAAGCGUUAUCCGGAAUCAUUGGGUUUAAAGGGUCCGUAGGCGGUUUAGUAAGUCAGUGGUGAAAGCCCAUCGCUCAACGGUGGAACGGCCAUUGAUACUGCUGAACUUGAAUUAUUAGGAAGUAACUAGAAUAUGUAGUGUAGCGGUGAAAUGCUUAGAGAUUACAUGGAAUACCAAUUGCGAAGGCAGGUUACUACUAAUGGAUUGACGCUGAUGGACGAAAGCGUGAGUAGCGAACAGG
This 253-nucleotide ribosomal RNA is filed under the name uncultured bacterium. RNAcentral describes it as "partial 16S ribosomal RNA". It matches the Rfam family "Bacterial small subunit ribosomal RNA", at positions 524 to 776 of the family's 1533-position model. The record is from RNAcentral.